RNAcentral lists this ribosomal RNA (452 nucleotides) under uncultured Kitasatospora sp. RNAcentral describes it as "bacterial SSU rRNA". It matches the Rfam family "Bacterial small subunit ribosomal RNA", at positions 36 to 496 of the family's 1533-position model. Lineage: Bacteria; Bacillati; Actinomycetota; Actinomycetes; Kitasatosporales; Streptomycetaceae. The record is from RNAcentral.
UAACCUGGCGGGUGCUUACACAUACAGUCGAACGGUGAAGCCUUCGGGGUGGAUCAGUGGCGAACGGGUGAGUAACACGCGGGCAAUCUGCCCUGCACUCUGGGACAAGCCCUGGAAACGGGGUCUAAUACCGGAUAUACCGCCUCGGGCAUCUGGGGUGGUGGAAAGCUCCGGCGGUGCAGGAUGAGCCCGCGGCCUAUCAGCUUGUUGGUGGGGUGAUGGCCUACCAAGGCGACGACGGGUAGCCGGCCUGAGAGGGCGACCGGCCACACUGGGACUGAGACACGGCCCAGACUCCUACGUGGAGGCAGCAGUGGGGAAUAUUGCACAAUGGGCGCAAGCCUGAUGCAGCGAAGCCGCGUGAAGGAUUACGGGCUUCGGGUUGGAAACCCUCUUUCAGGCAGGGAAAGAAGCCGCAAGUUAACGGGUUCCCUUGAGAAAAAAAGCCACCG